ACCUGGCUGGCUCAGUCGGUUGAGCAUCUGACUUCGGUUCAGGUCAUGAUCUUGCGGUUCGUGAGUUCGGGUCCCGCGUCAGGUU
This 85-nucleotide transfer RNA is filed under the name Felis catus (domestic cat). It matches the Rfam family "tRNA". From Rfam's summary of the family: Transfer RNA (tRNA) molecules are approximately 80 nucleotides in length. Their secondary structure includes four short double-helical elements and three loops (D, anti-codon, and T loops). Further hydrogen bonds mediate the characteristic L-shaped molecular structure. tRNAs have two regions of fundamental functional importance: the anti-codon, which is responsible for specific mRNA codon recognition, and the 3' end, to which the tRNAs corresponding amino acid is attached (by aminoacyl-tRNA synthetases). tRNAs cope with the degeneracy of the genetic code in two manners: having more than one tRNA (with a specific anti-codon) for a particular amino acid; and 'wobble' base-pairing, i.e. permitting non-standard base-pairing at the 3rd anti-codon position. Lineage: Eukaryota; Metazoa; Chordata; Mammalia; Carnivora; Felidae. The record is from Rfam by way of RNAcentral.